CAAGCGGUGGAGCAUGUGUUUAAUUCGAAGCAACGCGAAGAACCUUACCAGGUCUUGACAUCCCGAUGCUAUUUCUAGAGAUAGAAAGUUACUUCGGUACAUCGGUGACAGGUGGUGCAUGGUUGUCGUCAGCUCGUGUCGUGAGAUGUUGGGUUAAGUCCCGCAACGAGCGCAACCCCUAUUGUUAGUUGCCAUCAUUCAGUUGGGCACUCUAGCGAGACUGCCGGUAAUAAACCGGAGGAAGGUGGGGAUGACGUCAAAUCAUCAUGCCCCUUAUGACCUGGGCUACACACGUGCUACAAUGGUUGGUACAACGAGUUGCGAGUCGGUGACGGCGAGCUAAUCUCUUAAAGCCAAUCUCAGUUCGGAUUGUAGGCUGCAACUCGCCUACAUGAAGUCGGAAUCGCUAGUAAUCGCGGAUCAGCACGCCGCGGUGAAUACGUUCCCGGGCCUU
Molecule: ribosomal RNA, 454 nt
Filed under: uncultured Streptococcus sp.
Lineage: Bacteria; Bacillati; Bacillota; Bacilli; Lactobacillales; Streptococcaceae
Description: bacterial SSU rRNA
Rfam family: Bacterial small subunit ribosomal RNA
Source: RNAcentral